CUGGAACACUUCAUCCGUUGUGUCGAACUUUCCCAUAUCCCGAACUUGUAAGAACUUGUCCGCGUAAACUGCGGUGACAACUGGUCAUCCAGGCAGUUGAUAUGUAGUGUCCUUUCUGCUUGGGACCAUUUUCCGCCCGUGGAGGUAUGUCCACAGCGCGCUCCCCAGCCCCGUGUGCUGGCAUCUGAUUCUAUUACGCAAUCUG
This is a non-coding RNA of Pelobates cultripes (western spadefoot toad), 205 nucleotides long. NCBI's taxonomy places the organism in Eukaryota, Metazoa, Chordata, Amphibia, Anura, Pelobatidae. The record is from the annotation of a GenBank genome assembly.